This is a long non-coding RNA of Solea solea (common sole), 1014 nucleotides long. RefSeq lists it as uncharacterized. The record is from RefSeq and is a predicted model, not a curated record. The transcript is spliced from 3 exons. NCBI's taxonomy places the organism in Eukaryota, Metazoa, Chordata, Actinopteri, Pleuronectiformes, Soleidae.
CACACACUGAUUUAAAAGCCUUUAUGUAGUUUCCGUGACUUGGUACAUUCCACUCCCCCCCUCUGUGUCGAUCUAUUUGGAAUGUUCCACUUCCUUUGUCGGAGGCGGAGCUUCUUCUGCGCAGAGACAGAAACGAGAAGCAGCGGGAACUAACAUGUGGACAAUCAUGUGAACAAACGUGGACCAGGACCAGGAGCCGGAGCCAGGAUCAGGACCAGGACCAGGAGGAGGACGAGGAGCAGCGGGGACAGCUUUUCUCCGGGUUCUCUGGCCUCCUCCCACAGUCCAUCAAUCAUCUACCACUUUGUCCUCCACUGGAGGGUCGUGGGGGCUGCUGUGCCAAGCUCAGCUGUCAUAGGGUCAUAGGCGGGGUUCACCCUGGACUGUUCGCCAGUCCAUUCAAAACACGCAGUACAGUGAUGAGGUAAAUUUCCGCUUAAACAAUGACUUCAUGUAAGAUUCGAACCCCUGACCACAGGAACGCCAGCCCAAGUCUGAAACGUGUGAGCUAUUGGUCUUUGCAAGCAUUCCGCACAAUUUGGAAGUCUUUCAAUAAUAAAGUCCAUGACUUCAAAAAAAUGUCAGACUGAUGAAAUAUUUCAGAACGUUUGUCAACUUUAUUGUCAUUGCAAUGCAAUUCAGUCUAACCAGAGUGCAAAAACCAGUAAAGUGCAGUGAAAUGAAUAUAUAUGUAUAUAUAGCCUAUGAAUGAUAUGGGAAAGCUAAGGUAUGAAAUAUUAACAGUAAUACACUUUAACUGCACUUUAACACUGAUGUCAACUUUAACAAACAUAAACUGUGACACAUAAAACCAAAGGCUUACAACCACCCUAUUACAAAGGGGAUGGACAACUUAAAGCAUUUUAACUGACAUACAAGCAGGAAAGACACCUGUAAAAUAACACCUGAACAGGCCUAAUGUUAAGUUUCCAAACGUCCCUGAUGAAUUUAAGGUGGAGUAACAUUAACACACGUCGACUCAGCUAUUUAUUGAUUAUUAAACAAUGUUGCUAU